CACUCCUGCGGGAGGCAGCAGUGGGGAAUUUUGGACAAUGGGGGCAACCCUGAUCCAGCAAUGCCGCGUGAGUGAAGAAGGCCUUCGGGUUGUAAAGCUCUUUUGUCAGGGAAGAAACGGUAGUAGCGAAUAACUAUUACUAAUGACGGUACCUGAAGAAUAAGCACCGGCUAACUACGUGCCAGCAGCCGCGGUAAUACGUAGGGUGCAAGCGUUAAUCGGAAUUACUGGGCGUAAAGCGUGCGCAGGCGGUUGUGUAAGUCAGAUGUGAAAUCCCCGGGCUCAACCUGGGAAUUGCAUUUGAGACUGCACGGCUAGAGUGUGUCAGAGGGGGGUAGAAUUCCACGUGUAGCAGUGAAAUGCGUAGAUAUGUGGAGGAAUACCGAUGGCGAAGGCAGCCCCCUGGGAUAACACUGACGCUCAUGCACGAAAGCGUGGGGAGCAAACAGGAUUAGAUACCCGUGUAGUCCCAUGAU
Molecule: ribosomal RNA, 476 nt
Filed under: uncultured organism
Description: partial 16S ribosomal RNA
Rfam family: Bacterial small subunit ribosomal RNA
Source: RNAcentral